RNAcentral lists this ribosomal RNA (1195 nucleotides) under Staphylococcus aureus. Its description in RNAcentral is "bacterial SSU rRNA". It matches the Rfam family "Bacterial small subunit ribosomal RNA", at positions 1 to 1177 of the family's 1533-position model. The record is from RNAcentral. Lineage: Bacteria; Bacillati; Bacillota; Bacilli; Caryophanales; Staphylococcaceae.
UUUAUGGAGAGUUUGAUCCUGGCUCAGGAUGAACGCUGGCGGCGUGCCUAAUACAUGCAAGUCGAGCGAACGGACGAGAAGCUUGCUUCUCUGAUGUUAGCGGCGGACGGGUGAGUAACACGUGGAUAACCUACCUAUAAGACUGGGAUAACUUCGGGAAACCGGAGCUAAUACCGGAUAAUAUUUUGAACCGCAUGGUUCAAAAGUGAAAGACGGUCUUGCUGUCACUUAUAGAUGGAUCCGCGCUGCAUUAGCUAGUUGGUAAGGUAACGGCUUACCAAGGCAACGAUGCAUAGCCGACCUGAGAGGGUGAUCGGCCACACUGGAACUGAGACACGGUCCAGACUCCUACGGGAGGCAGCAGUAGGGAAUCUUCCGCAAUGGGCGAAAGCCUGACGGAGCAACGCCGCGUGAGUGAUGAAGGUCUUCGGAUCGUAAAACUCUGUUAUUAGGGAAGAACAUAUGUGUAAGUAACUGUGCACAUCUUGACGGUACCUAAUCAGAAAGCCACGGCUAACUACGUGCCAGCAGCCGCGGUAAUACGUAGGUGGCAAGCGUUAUCCGGAAUUAUUGGGCGUAAAGCGCGCGUAGGCGGUUUUUUAAGUCUGAUGUGAAAGCCCACGGCUCAACCGUGGAGGGUCAUUGGAAACUGGAAAACUUGAGUGCAGAAGAGGAAAGUGGAAUUCCAUGUGUAGCGGUGAAAUGCGCAGAGAUAUGGAGGAACACCAGUGGCGAAGGCGACUUUCUGGUCUGUAACUGACGCUGAUGUGCGAAAGCGUGGGGAUCAAACAGGAUUAGAUACCCUGGUAGUCCACGCCGUAAACGAUGAGUGCUAAGUGUUAGGGGGUUUCCGCCCCUUAGUGCUGCAGCUAACGCAUUAAGCACUCCGCCUGGGGAGUACGACCGCAAGGUUGAAACUCAAAGGAAUUGACGGGGACCCGCACAAGCGGUGGAGCAUGUGGUUUAAUUCGAAGCAACGCGAAGAACCUUACCAAAUCUUGACAUCCUUUGACAACUCUAGAGAUAGAGCCUUCCCCUUCGGGGGACAAAGUGACAGGUGGUGCAUGGUUGUCGUCAGCUCGUGUCGUGAGAUGUUGGGUUAAGUCCCGCAACGAGCGCAACCCUUAAGCUUAGUUGCCAUCAUUAAGUUGGGCACUCUAAGUUGACUGCCGGUGACAAACCGGAGGAAGGUGGG